This 467-nucleotide ribosomal RNA is filed under the name uncultured bacterium. Its description in RNAcentral is "partial 16S ribosomal RNA". It matches the Rfam family "Bacterial small subunit ribosomal RNA", at positions 28 to 507 of the family's 1533-position model. The record is from RNAcentral.
GACGAACGCUGGCGACGUGCUUAACACAUGCAAGUCGAACGGAAAGGCCUCUUUCGGGGGGUACUCGAGUGGCGAACGGGUGAGUAACACGUGAGUAACCUGCCCUUGACUUUGGGAUAACUUCAGGAAACUGGGGCUAAUACCGGAUAGGAGCUCCUGCUGCAUGGUGGGGGUUGGAAAGUUUCGGCGGUUGGGGAUGGACUCGCGGCUUAUCAGCUUGUUGGUGGGGUAGUGGCUUACCAAGGCUUUGACGGGUAGCCGGCCUGAGAGGGUGACCGGCCACAUUGGGACUGAGAUACGGCCCAGACUCCUACGGGAGGCAGCAGUGGGGAAUAUUGCACAAUGGGUGGAAGCCUGAUGCAGCAACGCCGUGUGUGGGAUGACGGCCUUCGGGUUGUAAACCGCUUUCGCUCAUGACGAAGCUUUGUGUGACGGUAGUGGGUAAAGAAGCACCGGCUAACUACGUG